RNAcentral lists this ribosomal RNA (354 nucleotides) under Babesia caballi. RNAcentral describes it as "SSU rRNA". It matches the Rfam family "Eukaryotic small subunit ribosomal RNA", at positions 462 to 880 of the family's 1831-position model. Lineage: Eukaryota; Apicomplexa; Aconoidasida; Piroplasmida; Babesiidae. The record is from RNAcentral.
AGGUAGUGACAAGAAAUAACAAUACAGGGCAUAUGUCUUGUAAUUGGAAUGAUGGCGACUUAAACCCUCGCCAGAGUAACAAUUGGAGGGCAAGUCUGGUGCCAGCAGCCGCGGUAAUUCCAGCUCCAAUAGCGUAUAUUAAACUUGUUGCAGUUAAAAAGCUCGUAGUUGAACUUUUGCGUUGCCUUUUUCCUGCUUUUUGCGGGUUUUUGGCUUCGCUUUUUCUUUUUACUUUGAGAAAAUUAGAGUGUUCAUCGCAGACUUUUGUCUUGAAUACUUCAGCAUGGAAUAAUAGAGUAGGACUUUGGUUCUAUUUUGUUGGUUUUGGGACCUUGGUAAUGGUUAAUAGGAACG